RNAcentral lists this ribosomal RNA (474 nucleotides) under uncultured bacterium. Its description in RNAcentral is "bacterial SSU rRNA". It matches the Rfam family "Bacterial small subunit ribosomal RNA", at positions 27 to 545 of the family's 1533-position model. The record is from RNAcentral.
GAACGACGCUGGCGGCAGGCCUAAACACAUGCAAGUCGAGCGCCCCGCAAGGGGAGCGGCAGACGGGUGAGUAACGCGUGGGGAAUCUAACCUAAUGGUACGGAAUAGCCCAGGGAAACUUGGAGUAAUACCGUAUACGCCCGCAAGGGGAAAGAUUUUAUCGCCAUUAGAUGAGCCCGCGUUGGAUUAGCUAGUUGGUGGGGUAACGGCCCACCAAGGCGACGAUCCAUAGCUGGUCUGAGAGGAUGAUCAGCCACACUGGGACUGAGACACGGCCCAGACUCCUACGGGAGGCAGCAGUGGGGAAUAUUGGACAAUGGGCGCAAGCCUGAUCCAGCCAUGCCGCGUGAGUGACGAAGGUCUUCGGAUUGUAAAGCUCUUUUGGCGGGGACGAUAAUGACGGUACCCGCAGAAUAACGCCCCGGCUAACUUCGUGCCAGCAGCCGCGGUAAUACGAAGGGGGCUAGCGUUGUU